Molecule: long non-coding RNA, 483 nt
Organism: Xenia sp. Carnegie-2017
Lineage: Eukaryota; Metazoa; Cnidaria; Anthozoa; Malacalcyonacea; Xeniidae
Exons: 3
Source: RefSeq, a predicted model, not a curated record
UAAAGAUUUUAUUGGAAGAAAGAGACGUGAGUCUUUGAAGAAGUUUGUCCAGCGGCAGUUCGUUAAAGUGAUGAAAGAUAGAAUAUCGAUUCAGGAUUUCAUCUUUGCUAAGGAAUAUCGUGACGUCAUUUGUCACGUGAUCGUCGCACGGAACCUCGCAUGGGAAAACGUGUAUCUUACGUCAUUGUUAACGGCAGUCCUGAACUACCAUUGAUUCAAUUGGUUAAAGAUCCUAUUGAUGUGUUAAAUGAUAAAUAUCUACGCCUCAAUACCAUCUACUAUGUUCAGAAACAAAUACUUCCUCCAUUGGAUCGAGUUUUUUCCUUGAUUGGUGUUGAUGUGUUUUCAUGGUAUACACAACUACCCCGCUAUAUCCCUCGACAUCGUUUUAUUGCAAGGAAACAAAAAGUUAGUUGUCAUAAGUACAUUCAUGAAUUGAUGUAAAAGCUAAAUUAAUUUAUUUGAACAAAUUUUAGCGUUCGA